Small nuclear RNA from Callithrix jacchus (white-tufted-ear marmoset), 142 nucleotides. Its record names the gene U4. It matches the Rfam family "U4 spliceosomal RNA". Rfam says of the family: U4 small nuclear RNA (U4 snRNA) is a component of the major U2-dependent spliceosome. The record is from Ensembl. Lineage: Eukaryota; Metazoa; Chordata; Mammalia; Primates; Cebidae.
AGCUUUGUGCAGUGGCAGUAUCGUAGCCAAUUAGGUUUAUCUGAGGCACCAUUACUGCUAAUUGAAAACAUUUCCCCAAUACCCCUCCAUGAUGACUUGAAAUAUAGUUGGCACUGGCAAUUUUUGACAGUCUCUAUGGAGA